AUGAUGUGUCAAUCAUAUGGAGA
Molecule: non-coding RNA, 23 nt
Filed under: Arabidopsis thaliana (thale cress)
Lineage: Eukaryota; Viridiplantae; Streptophyta; Magnoliopsida; Brassicales; Brassicaceae
Source: RNAcentral